GUGGGGAAUCUUCCGCAAUGGACGAAAGUCUGACGGAGCAACGCCGCGUGAACGAUGACGGCCUUCGGGUUGUAAAGUUCUGUUAUACGGGACGAAUGGUACGACGGCCAAUACCCGUCGUAAGUGACGGUACCGUAAGAGAAAGCCACGGCUAACUACGUGCCAGCAGCCGCGGUAAUACGUAGGUGGCAAGCGUUGUCCGGAAUUAUUGGGCGUAAAGGGCGCGCAGGCGGCGUCGUAAGUCGGUCUUAAAAGUGCGGGGCUUAACCCCGUGAGGGGACCGAAACUGCGAUGCUAGAGUAUCGGAGAGGAAAGCGGAAGUCCUAGUGUAGCGGUGAAAUGCGUAGAUAUUAGGAGGAACACCAGUGGCGAAAGCGGCUUUCUGGACGACAACUGACGCUGAGGCGCGAAAGCCAGGGGAGCAAACGGGAUUAGAAACCCGUGUAGUCC
Molecule: ribosomal RNA, 450 nt
Filed under: uncultured bacterium
Lineage: Bacteria
Description: partial 16S ribosomal RNA
Rfam family: Bacterial small subunit ribosomal RNA
Source: RNAcentral